UCCUGGCGUUGCAGAGGGAGAACCCAGACCAGGCCAGGCGCCACAGCCACACGCUGCCCCCAAGGCUGUUUCCCAAAGUGGCACCUGCAAGGCUACGGGUCCUGGACUGCUGGGCUGUUGAAGUACAUUCGUGCACUGAUAGAAUGACGCCUGCAAAGGAACAGAGUCGAGGAUUCAGGCAGGGGUAGAUUGUGUGCGUGUGCACACUCUGUCUCCCGCACUCCACGUUUCCAUCCUGGAUACCUAUACUGCAUAAAAUGGACAUGCGUGACAUUUGGUGCUGAAGACCCAGGUCAGAGAGACUCCUUUGGGGGACCAGUCCGCUGUCCUUGCCCUCACUCUGUGAGGAGACCCACCUACGACCUCGGGUCCUCAGACCAACCAGCUCAAGGAACAUCUCACCAAUUUCAAAUCGGGACCCCACUGGAAAAUGGACUGUCCAACUCACCCGGCAGCCACUCCCAGAGCCCCUGGAACUCUGGCCCAAGGCUCUCUGACUGACUCCUUCCCAGAUCUUCUCGGCUCAGCAGCUGAAGACUGACACUGCUUGAUUGCCUGGGAAGCCUAUAGGACCAUCACAGACACUUUGGAUAACUCUUACAGUGAAGGAAGACGGGAAUGUCAGGCCUCUGAGCCCAAGCCUGCACAUAUACAUCCAGAUGGCCUGAAGCAAGUGAAGAAUCACAAAAGAAGUGAAAAUGGCUGGUUCCUGCCUUAACUGAUGACAUUCCACCAUUGUGAUUUGUUCCUGCCCCACCUUAACUGAGUGAUUAACCUUGUGAAAUUCCUUUCCUGGCUCAGAAGCUCCCCCACUGAGCACCUUGUGACCCCCGCCCCUGCCCAUAAGAGAGCAAACCCCUUUGACUGUAAUUGUCCACUACCCACCCAAAUCCUGUAAAACAGCCCCACCCCUAUCUCCCUUCCCUGACUCUCUUUUUGGACUCAGCCCACCUGCAACCAGGUGAAAUAAACAGCCUUGUUGCUCACACAAAGCCUGUUUGGUCGUCUCUUCACGCGGACGUGCGUGACAAUGGGCUCAAGUCGUCCUCCCACCUCAGCCUCCUGAAUAGCUAGGGACUACAGGCAUGCACCACCAUGCCUGGCUAAUUUUUGUAUUUUUUGUAGAGAAAGAGUUUCACCAUGUUUCCCAGGCUGGUCUUGAACUCUUGAGCUCAAGCGAUCUGUCUGCCUUGGUCUCCCAAAGUGCUGGGAUUACAGGGAUGAGCCACCAUGCCCGGCCUUGAAUAGCCACUUUGGAUCCCCAUUUGAAACUCCCUUCUGUUGGAAUUCCAAAAACUUUUCUGCACAGUCCUCUACCCAAAUGCCCUUGUGUAAUAUACACCUCUGUGUUACAGUCUUGUUGCAGACAAAGUGCAAAUACUAGGGUUCAGGUGAGGCCAUUCCAAAUUAUUUUCAAGGAAUGAGGUUUGCUUCUAAAGAUGCCUGUUUGAGAUGUUUCAGAGCCCACCUUCCUGAAGAUGUAUAUUGGUAUCUGAUACAAUGAACUUUGAUGUAUACUCAUUGAUCCAGUACUUAAAGAUGGACUAUUAUUGAAUGUUCUUGACAAGAGAAAUGACAUUAUAGAAGUCUAGAGUUCACCUAGUAUGCCAACAUGACUAUAGCAGUUGUUAGAAUUUUGACAUACAGCUGACCCUUGAACAAGGCAGGGGUUAGGGGUGCUGAGCCUCAUGUAGUCAAAAAUAUGCAUGUAACUUUUGAUUAUCCCAAAUCUUAAUAGCCUGCUGUUAACCAAAAGUCUCACUGAUAACACAGUAAUAUGUGGUAAUAAUAAUUUUUUUUUUUUUGAGAUGGAGUCUCGCUCUGUCACCCAGGCUGGUGUGCAGUGGUGCAAUCUGCGCUCACUGCAACCUCCACCUCCCAGAUAAAAGUGACUCUCGUCCUUCAGCCUCCCAAGUAGCUGGGAUUAUAGGCACUCGCCACCACGUCUAGCUAAUCUUUGUAUUUUUAGUAGAGAUGGGGUUUCACCAUGUUGGCCAGGCUGGUUUUGAACCCCUGACCUCCGGUGAUCCGCCUGCCUUGGCCUUUCAAAAUGUUGGGAUUACAGGUGUGAGCCAACAUGCCAGGCCUGUGUUAAUAAUAAUUAAGACAUUUUAUAUGUUAUAUAGAUCAUAUACUGUAUUAUUACAAUAAAGUAAACUAGAGAAAAUAAAGUAUUAUUAAGAAAAUUAUGGGCCAGACACAGUGGCUCACAUACCAGUUGUUGCCAUACCAGUUGUUGGUUUUUUUGAAUGUCAUUCCUGUAGACGUGUGCUUUGGGAAAAUUUUGCUGGCAACAGUGUCUAAGGGGUUAGAGAAGGGAAGACCCCAGAGCCAAAUAAUUCAGCAACAAGUCUGUUGUCUUAAUCAGGAGGUCAGGUGGUAAGCGCUUGGUCUAAUGUGACAGAGGAGAGAACUAAUCUGAGCUGCCUGUCAUCUUAAGAGGAACAAAGCCUCCUCCAGCGUGUUUAGGACUCAACCUCUGGAAAGUAUGGACAGGUAGAAACCUAGUCCCACUCCCAGGGUAACAAGGCCAGAACAGGACCACCAGCAACAUCAGCUUAUUACUAAGUUAGAAAAUUUAUAAAUUCAGAAAAUUUGUAAAUUGUCUAGUUCAGUUCAGUCUGGGAUGAAUUUGAGCCAACAAGUGAGCCCUUACAGGGCAAAAGGGAUACGAGAUCACAGAAUGAAGAGGGUGCAAGGAAAGGGACCAGCAGGGGAAAGUGUGGGG
Molecule: long non-coding RNA, 2728 nt
Filed under: Homo sapiens (human)
Lineage: Eukaryota; Metazoa; Chordata; Mammalia; Primates; Hominidae
Description: HSALNT0369290
Source: RNAcentral